GUCAACUUAAGAUUUAUUAAAGGGACAAGCCCAACAGAGAACGAAGCCCAAUACAAAAAGGAAAAAACAGAAGGCCUAAACAAUGGGCCAUUACACGUAAAAACCUCUGGGCCGUAAACCCAAAAGAAAAACCGUUGGGGAAGAAAACUUCAAGCUUCCACCACAUGAUCGAUUUCCCAGCAAGCGUCAAGACGCGAGACAGAUCUCUUCCUCCGGUGCCAGAGAGACGGCACGACGGAGCUUCGCCAUCGGCAAAACAUAAACGAAGGAGAAUCCGUUCAACCGAACGGCUCUCAACUCCGACCAGUCGAGGGUCGAAUCUGACAGAUCAAACGCUUCAAUGAAACUUCAAACGACUUCAAUCAAACCCAAACCUUUGAGAUUCCUGCAUGAACACCGAUCAUCUUUAAUGAUGGAGGAGGAGCCCGAAGAUGAAAAUCACCUUAACCAAGGAAAGGAAUCCAAAAUCAAAGGCUGAGAAGGAGAAUCAAUUGAGCACGAGACCAAGAGAAGCGCUGAUCGUAUCGGAAUCGGGAGGUUACGAUGGAGAGCCGCCGUAAGCGGUGAAAAGGUCACCACUUCCCGGAGACGAAAGCCGGCGAAGACGAGGUUAUGUGAACCACCGCUUCCAAGAGACCAUCAUCUGAUCAAAAGAUCAGAAAACCAAAAAGGAUCGAGUACUCUCAUCAUCCCCCUCCGUGAAAGAUUUUUGAGAGAGAACGGAGGUGAGAGAGAGACUCGUCUCAAAUUUGAUUUUAAUACACGGUGCAAUUUAUCUUUAUAUAUUUACAUAUCAAGAAACUUGUUUGAAAACUUCCAAAUAAUUGUGUUCAUGCGGUUGCAUGUAGUUUUACGCUUCUAUGCAGUAAUCAGCGAG
This 877-nucleotide long non-coding RNA is filed under the name Brassica napus (rape). RNAcentral's name for it is "long non-coding RNA (BNAP_LNC020257)". Lineage: Eukaryota; Viridiplantae; Streptophyta; Magnoliopsida; Brassicales; Brassicaceae. The record is from RNAcentral.